This is a long non-coding RNA of Ictalurus punctatus (channel catfish), 1498 nucleotides long. The record is from Ensembl. NCBI's taxonomy places the organism in Eukaryota, Metazoa, Chordata, Actinopteri, Siluriformes, Ictaluridae.
CAGCUAAUGGACCGAGGUGUUCAGGAUCUAUAACUACAUUGUUUCCUCAGCUCAAUAUUAAAGGAUGCUUAAUUGCUACUGAUCAAGGACUAAGGAAGCGCCCUGCUAAAACUACAUGGUACAAAAUGCAGACUGAUAAGUCUGAAAGUACGGGUCAACCUGUUCCGUUUUGCACUUCAGACAAGAUAUUUGAAAGAACAUCUUCAGAAAGUUUCCAGAAGACAGGACAAGCUGAAUUGAGCGAUAAUCAACAGAGCCAGAGUGAUGGGGUAGAACAGAUUUCUACAUUUCCGUACAAUAGGGGCAAUGACCCCUGCUCCAUUCGCUGUCUGAUCAAAACUAUUUUAAAUUUGGUCAAUAACACAAAAAUGAACCAGAAGCUGAUCAGAGAAAAAACUGAGAUGAGCACCAGUCACUAGAGGAGGACUGAAAAGACAGUGUUCUUCCAGCUGGACUUAUGAGCAACAGGACAUUGGACUGGAGCUCAAUUUGAGGAAAAAUACAAUCAGAGGACUAAAUGAGAUACAACAACAGAGGAAGACUAAAAAGCUGUAGAUGACAAAUUUUACUCAGGCUUGACAGUCAAUCAGAGGAAAAUACAUGAUGCUCUCUCAUCAUCCGAUGAGGACUGGAAAGCGCGAGCUUUCCAGCUGUACUUUCAAGGAGCGCAGGGACGGUAGCUCCUCUAAGACACAUCUUGCACCUUUGAACUCUGAUCAUCCAUCCAUCUUCUAUACUGCUUAUCCUUUUCAGGAUCAUGGGGAAACCAUGGCGGGGUACACCCUGGACAGGGUGCCAAUCCAUCGCAGGGCAGACUCACAUACACAUUCACACACCCAUUCAUGCACUACGGACACUUUAGACAUGCCAAUCAGCCUACCAUGCAUGUCUUUGGACUGGGGGAGGAAACCAGAGUACCCGGAGGAAACCCCCGCAGAACAUUCAAACUCCGCACACACAGGGCCACGGUGGGAAUCGAACCCCCGACCCUGUGAGGCGAACGUACUAACCACUAAGCCACCGUGCACCCUGAACUCCGAUCAAUUUGAUAAAAAAUACAACAGCGCACCGAAUGUCAUUGAUAGCACAAAAACAUUGCUCUCCGUAAGAGGACUAAAAUGCCACAGAUCUCCAACUCUAAUUUUAAGAAGCAGCAGGACAUUAGCUCAUCUGAAGCACAUCUUUCACCUUUGGUUGAAGCUCCAGUCAGUCUGGUCAAAAAUACAAAUGGUCAAAAUUUGUUCAAAGGACCAACUGAGCUAAAAACUGGUCACCAGAGGACUGAAAAGAGAGGGCUCUCCAGCUGUACUUUCAAGGAGCGCUGGGACGUUCCACCUUUGAUUGGAACUUCGAUCAAUUUGAUAAAAAAUACAACAGCAUGCCGAAUGUCACUGAUAGGACAAAAUGAGCUAUACAUUUCUCUCCGUAACAAGGGGGGCCUCAUACUGAAAAAGACUGAGAACCACUGGACUAGGGCAAUGUAAACAAAACAAACAGG